This 1328-nucleotide ribosomal RNA is filed under the name Salmonella enterica. Its description in RNAcentral is "partial 23S ribosomal RNA". It matches the Rfam family "Bacterial large subunit ribosomal RNA", at positions 1 to 1268 of the family's 2925-position model. Lineage: Bacteria; Pseudomonadati; Pseudomonadota; Gammaproteobacteria; Enterobacterales; Enterobacteriaceae. The record is from RNAcentral. RNAcentral also lists the same sequence under 1 other name.
GGUUAAGCGACUAAGCGUACACGGUGGAUGCCCUGGCAGUCAGAGGCGAUGAAGGGCGUGCUAAUCUGCGAUAAGCGCCGGUAAGGUGAUAUGAACCGUUAUAACCGGCGAUACCCGAAUGGGGAAACCCAGUGUGAUUCGUCACACUAUCAUUAACUGAAUCCAUAGGUUAAUGAGGCGAACCGGGGGAACUGAAACAUCUAAGUACCCCGAGGAAAAGAAAUCAACCGAGAUUCCCCCAGUAGCGGCGAGCGAACGGGGAGGAGCCCAGAGCCUGAAUCAGCAUGUGUGUUAGUGGAAGCGUCUGGAAAGGCGCGCGAUACAGGGUGACAGCCCCGUACACAAAAGCGCAUAUGCUGUGAGCUCGAUGAGUAGGGCGGGACACGUGGUAUCCUGUCUGAAUAUGGGGGGACCAUCCUCCAAGGCUAAAUACUCCUGACUGACCGAUAGUGAACCAGUACCGUGAGGGAAAGGCGAAAAGAACCCCGGCGAGGGGAGUGAAAAAGAACCUGAAACCGUGUACGUACAAGCAGUGGGAGCCCCACCACUAAGCCAGUGGUGAACUCCACAUACGCAUCCUUUGCUGAGGAGACGGUUAACGGAGCGAAAGCGACGUUCAACCUCAAAAGAAGCAGAGGGGGCUUAGUGGUGGGGUGACUGCGUACCUUUUGUAUAAUGGGUCAGCGACUUAUAUUCUGUAGCAAGGUUAACUGUAUAGGGGAGCCGGAGGGAAACCGAGUCUUAACCGGGCGUUAAGUUGCAGGGUAUAGACCCGAAACCCGGUGAUCUAGCCAUGGGCAGGUUGAAGGUUGGGUAACACUAACUGGAGGACCGAACCGACUAAUGUUGAAAAAUUAGCGGAUGACCUGUGGCUGGGGGUGAAAGGCCAAUCAAACCGGGAGAUAGCUGGUUCUCCCCGAAAGCUAUUUAGGUAGCGCCUCGUGAAUUCAUCUCCGGGGGUAGAGCACUGUUUCGGCUAGGGGGCCAUCCCGGCUUACCAACCCGAUGCAAACUGCGAAUACCGGAGAAUGUUAUCACGGGAGACACACGGCGGGUGCUAAUGUCCGUCGUGAAGAGGGAAACAACCCAGACCGCCAGCUAAGGUCCCAAAGUCAUGGUUAAGUGGGAAACGAUGUGGGAAGGCCCAGACAGCCAGGAUGUUGGCUUAGAAGCAGCCAUCAUUUAAAGAAAGCGUAAUAGCUCACUGGUCGAGUCGGCCUGCGCGGAAGAUGUAACGGGGCUAAACCAUGCACCGAAGCUGCGGCAGCGACACCGUGUGUUGUUGGGUAGGGGAGCGUUCUGUAAGCCUGUGAAGGUGUGCUGUGAGG